Molecule: ribosomal RNA, 248 nt
Filed under: uncultured bacterium
Lineage: Bacteria
Description: partial 16S ribosomal RNA
Rfam family: Bacterial small subunit ribosomal RNA
Source: RNAcentral
AUCACCUACGGGAGGCAGCAGUGAGGAAUAUUGGUCAAUGGACGCAAGUCUGAACCAGCCAUGCCGCGUGCAGAAAGAAGGAGCUAUGCAUUGUAAACUUCUUUUAUACGGGGGUAAUUACAGAUACGUGUAUCUGGAUGAAAGUACCGUAUGAAUAAGGAUCGGCUAACUCCGUGCCAGCAGCGGCGGUAAUACGGAGGAUCCGGGCGUUAUCCGGAUUUAUUGGGUUUAAAGGGUGCGUAGGCGGU